Molecule: ribosomal RNA, 423 nt
Filed under: uncultured bacterium
Lineage: Bacteria
Description: bacterial SSU rRNA
Rfam family: Bacterial small subunit ribosomal RNA
Source: RNAcentral
AAGACCUUGCGCUUUUGGAGCGGCCGAUGCCUGAUUAGCUUGUUGGUAAGGUAAAAGCUUACCAAGGCUUCGAUCAGUAGCUGGUCUGAGAGGACGGCCAGCCACACUGGGACUGAGACACGGCCCAGACUCCUACGGGAGGCAGCAGUGGGGAAUUUUGGACAAUGGGGGCAACCCUGAUCCAGCCAUGCCGCGUGAGUGAAGAAGGCCUUCGGGUUGUAAAGCUCUUUCAGCCGGAACGAAACGGUUACGGAUAAUACCCGUGACUACUGACGGUACCGGAAGAAGAAGCACCGGCUAACUACGUGCCAGCAGCCGCGGUAAUACGUAGGGUGCGAGCGUUAAUCGGAAUUACUGGGCGUAAAGCGUGCGCAGGUGGUUUUGUAAGUCAGAUGUGAAAGCCCCGGGCUCAACCUGGGAACU